This is a small nuclear RNA of Rhinolophus ferrumequinum (greater horseshoe bat), 103 nucleotides long. NCBI's taxonomy places the organism in Eukaryota, Metazoa, Chordata, Mammalia, Chiroptera, Rhinolophidae. The record is from Ensembl.
GGGCUUCUUUUGGCAGCACCUACACUACAAUUGGACUGAUAGAAGAUUACCAUGGCCCCUGCACAAGGAUGAUAUGCAAAUUCAUGAAGUAUUCCAUAUUUUC